This 280-nucleotide ribosomal RNA is filed under the name uncultured bacterium. RNAcentral describes it as "partial 16S ribosomal RNA". It matches the Rfam family "Bacterial small subunit ribosomal RNA", at positions 355 to 627 of the family's 1533-position model. The record is from RNAcentral.
UAGGGAAUCUUCGGCAAUGGACGAAAGUCUGACCGAGCAACGCCGCGUGAGUGAAGAAGGUUUUCGGAUCGUAAAACUCUGUUGGUAGAGAAGAACGUUGGUGAGAGUGGAAAGCUCAUCAAGUGACGGUAACUACCCAGAAAGGGACGGCUAACUACGUGCCAGCAGCCGCGGUAAUACGUAGGUCCCGAGCGUUGUCCGGAUUUAUUGGGCGUAAAGCGAGCGCAGGUGGUUUAUUAAGUCUGGUGUAAAAGGCAGUGGCUCAACCAUUGUAUGCAUU